AUGAUCAAAGCUGAAGCUUUACAUAGUCUUGCAAAUAAAGUUUUUGAAGACAUAAGUGUUACUUGCCUUCAACGAUUUCAUUUGGAAUCUUUACCCAAAAAGACACCAUUAGGAGCACCAAGUGGAAUACCUCAAGUUGGAAAACAGAAAAGCAUUGCGCAUGCAAGGUUCCGUCACACUCUUCCGGGUGGAGGUAGACAAUAUAAUUCCUCAAUCAUAAUACCACAAUUUCUAGACAAAAAUGUGGCUUCAAGUUCUAAGGAUAUUGGUGUUGGUGCAUGA
Vicia faba (fava bean) is the source of this 282-nucleotide non-coding RNA. NCBI's taxonomy places the organism in Eukaryota, Viridiplantae, Streptophyta, Magnoliopsida, Fabales, Fabaceae. The record is from the annotation of a GenBank genome assembly.